CCUACGGGUGGCUGCAGUAAGGAAUAUUGGUCAAUGGACGCAAGUCUGAACCAGCCAUGCCGCGUGGAGGAUGAAGGUCCUCUGGAUUGUAAACUUCUUUUAUUUGGGAAGAAACUCCCGAUUUCCAUCGGGAUUGACGGUACCAGAUGAAUAAGCACCGGCUAACUCCGUGCCAGCCGCCGCGGUAAUACGGAGGGUGCAAGCGUUACUCGGAUGCACGGGGUUUAAAGUGUGCGUAGGUGGCCAGGGUGAAAUCUCCGGGCUUAACCCGGAAAAUGCCAUUGAUACUAUUUGUCUUGAAUACUCUGGAGGUGAGCGGAAUAUGUCAUGUAGCGGUGAAAUGCUUAGAUAUGACAUAGAACACCCAUUGCGAAGGCAGCUCACUACGGAAAUAUUGACGCUGAGGCACGAAAGCGUGGGGAUCAAACAGGAUUAGAUACCCUGGUAGUA
RNAcentral lists this ribosomal RNA (450 nucleotides) under uncultured bacterium. RNAcentral describes it as "partial 16S ribosomal RNA". It matches the Rfam family "Bacterial small subunit ribosomal RNA", at positions 338 to 795 of the family's 1533-position model. The record is from RNAcentral.